RNAcentral lists this ribosomal RNA (251 nucleotides) under uncultured prokaryote. Its description in RNAcentral is "partial 16S rRNA". It matches the Rfam family "Bacterial small subunit ribosomal RNA", at positions 525 to 775 of the family's 1533-position model. The record is from RNAcentral.
ACGGAGGAUGCGAGCGUUAUCCGGAUUCAUUGGGUUUAAAGGGUGCGUAGGCGGACUAUUAAGUCAGUGGUGAAAUCCUGCAGCUUAACUGCAGAACUGCCAUUGAUACUGAUAGCCUUGAGUUUGGGAAAGGAAGAGGGAAUGUUGAAUGUAGCGGUGAAAUGCGUAGAUAUUACGCAGAACACCAAUUGCGUAGGCAGCUUACUGAGCCGACACUGACGCUGAGGCACGAAAGCGUGGGGAUCAAACAG